RNAcentral lists this ribosomal RNA (376 nucleotides) under uncultured bacterium. Its description in RNAcentral is "bacterial SSU rRNA". It matches the Rfam family "Bacterial small subunit ribosomal RNA", at positions 28 to 404 of the family's 1533-position model. The record is from RNAcentral.
GACGAACGCUGGCGGCGUGCUUAACACAUGCAAGUCGAGCGGUAAGGCCCUUUCGGGGGUACGACGAGCGGCGAACGGGUGAGUAACACGUGGGUGACCUGCCCUCAGCUCUGGGAUAAGCCUGGGAAACCGGGUCUAAUACCGGAUAUGACUCCAUGACGCAUGUUGUGGGGUGGAAAGCCUUGUGCGGCUGAGGAUGGGCCCGCGGCCUAUCAGCUUGUUGGUGGGGGAUGGCCUACCAAGGCGACGACGGGUAGGCCGGCCUGAGAGGGCGACCGGCCACACUGGGACUGAGACACGGCCCAGACUCCUACGGGAGGCAGCAGUGGGGAAUCUUGCGCAAUGGGCGAAAGCCUGACGCAGCGACGCCGCGUGA